This 292-nucleotide ribosomal RNA is filed under the name uncultured bacterium. Its description in RNAcentral is "partial 16S ribosomal RNA". It matches the Rfam family "Bacterial small subunit ribosomal RNA", at positions 505 to 796 of the family's 1533-position model. The record is from RNAcentral.
GUUUCAGCAGCCGCGGUAAUACGUAGGGUGCGAGCGUUAAUCGGAAUUACUGGGCGUAAAGCGUGCGCAGGCGGCGCCGCAAGUCAGGCGUGAAAUCCCCGGGCUCAACCUGGGAAUGGCGCUUGAAACUAUGGUGCUGGAGUGUGGCAGAGGGAGGUGGAAUUCCACGUGUAGCGGUGAAAUGCGUAGAGAUGUGGAGGAACACCGAUGGCGAAGGCAGCCUCCUGGGCCAACACUGACGCUCAUGCACGAAAGCGUGGGGAGCAAACAGGAUUAGAUACCCCAGUAGUCC